GAUGAACGCUGGCGGCGUGCCUAAUACAUGCAAGUCGAGCGAACGGACGAGAAGCUUGCUUCUCUGAUGUUAGCGGCGGACGGGUGAGUAACACGUGGAUAACCUACCUAUAGGACUGGGAUAACUUCGGGAAACCGGAGCUAAUACCGGAUAAUAUUUUGAACCGCAUGGUUCAAAAGUGAAAGACGGUCUUGCUGUCACUUAUAGAUGGAUCCGCGCUGCAUUAGCUAGCUGGUAAGGUAACGGCUUACCAAGGCAACGAUGCAUAGCCGACCUGAGAGGGUGAUCGGCCACACUGGAACUGAGACACGGUCCAGACUCCUACGGGAGGCAGCAGUAGGGAAUCUUCCGCAAUGGGCGAAAGCCUGACGGAGCAACGCCGCGUGAGUGAUGAAGGUCUUCGGAUCGUAAAACUCUGUUAUUAGGGAAGAACAUAUGUGUAAGUAACUGUGCACAUCUUGACGGUACCUACUCAGAAAGCCACGGCUAACUACGUG
This 497-nucleotide ribosomal RNA is filed under the name uncultured bacterium. RNAcentral describes it as "partial 16S ribosomal RNA". It matches the Rfam family "Bacterial small subunit ribosomal RNA", at positions 28 to 507 of the family's 1533-position model. The record is from RNAcentral.